UACGUAGGUGGCAAGCGUUGUCCGGAAUUAUUGGGCGUAAAGCGCGCGCAGGCGGCCUAUCCAGUCUGUCUUAAAAGUUCGGGGCUCAACCCCGUGAUGGGAUGGAAACUAGUAGGCUAGAGUAUCGGAGAGGAAAGCGGAAUUCCUAGUGUAGCGGUGAAAUGCGUAGAUAUUAGGAAGAACACCAGUGGCGAAGGCGGCUUUCUGGACGAAAACUGACGCUGAGGCGCGAAAGCCAGGGGAGCGAACGGG
This 252-nucleotide ribosomal RNA is filed under the name uncultured bacterium. RNAcentral describes it as "partial 16S ribosomal RNA". It matches the Rfam family "Bacterial small subunit ribosomal RNA", at positions 524 to 776 of the family's 1533-position model. The record is from RNAcentral. RNAcentral also lists the same sequence under 2 other names.